Molecule: ribosomal RNA, 460 nt
Filed under: uncultured bacterium
Lineage: Bacteria
Description: partial 16S ribosomal RNA
Rfam family: Bacterial small subunit ribosomal RNA
Source: RNAcentral
CCUACGGGUGGCAGCAGUGAGGAAUAUUGGUCAAUGGGCGGGAGCCUGAACCAGCCAAGUCGCGUGAGGGAAGACGGUCCUACGGAUUGUAAACCUCUUUUGCCGGGGAGCAACGGGGUCCUUGCGAGGGCCCGAUGAGAGUACCCGGAGAAAAAGCAUCGGCUAACUCCGUGCCAGCAGCCGCGGUAAUACGGAGGAUGCGAGCGUUAUCCGGAUUUAUUGGGUUUAAAGGGUGCGUAGGCGGGCUGUUAAGUCAGCGGUCAAAUCGUGGGGCUCAACCCCAUCCAGCCGUUGAAACUGGGGAUCUAGAGUGUGCGAGAGGUAUGCGGAAUGCGUGGUGUAGCGGUGAAAUGCAUAGAUAUCACGCAGAACCCCGAUUGCGAAGGCAGCAUACCGGUGCACAACUGACGCUCAGGCACGAAAGCGUGGGUAUCGAACAGGAUUAGAUACCCCAGUAGUC